GACGACGCUGGCGGCGUGCUUAAAACAUAGCAAGUCGAACGGACUUCUCAUGAAGCUUGCGAUUGAGAAGUUAGUGGCGGACGGGUGAGUAACGCGUGGGCAACCUGCCCCUGAGCCCGGGAUAACAGUUCGAAAGGACUGCUAAGACCGGAUAUACUUGCGGUGAAGCAUUUCACUGCAAGGAAAGGGAACGCUCAGGGAUGGGCCCGCGUCCCAUUAGCUAGUUGGUGAGGUAACGGCCCACCAAGGCGACGAUGGGUAGCCGGCCUGAGAGGGUGAACGGCCACACUGGGACUGAGACACGGCCCAGACUCCUACGGGAGGCAGCAGUUGGGAAUCUUCGGCAAUGGGCGCAAGCCUGACCGAGCAACGCCGCGUGAGUGAUGAAGGUUUUCGGAUUGUAAAGCUCUGUCUUCCGGGACGAUAAUGACGGUACCGGAGGAGGAAGCCACGGCUAACUACGUG
Molecule: ribosomal RNA, 465 nt
Filed under: uncultured bacterium
Lineage: Bacteria
Description: bacterial SSU rRNA
Rfam family: Bacterial small subunit ribosomal RNA
Source: RNAcentral